RNAcentral lists this ribosomal RNA (429 nucleotides) under uncultured archaeon. Its description in RNAcentral is "bacterial SSU rRNA". It matches the Rfam family "Archaeal small subunit ribosomal RNA", at positions 474 to 903 of the family's 1478-position model. The record is from RNAcentral.
UACCAGCUCUCCGAGUGGUAGGGAUGAUUAUUGGGCUUAAAGCGUCCGUAGCCGGCUUAGCAAGUUUCCUGUUAAACUCAGCGACUCAAUCGUUGGAUCGCGGGAAAUACUACUAGGCUAGGAGGCGGGAGAGGUCAACGGUACUUCUGGGGUAGGGGUGAAAUCCUAUAAUCCCGGGAGGACCACCAGUGGCGAAGGCUGUUGACUAGAACGCGCUCGACGGUGAGGGACGAAAGCUGGGGUAGCAAACCGGAUUAGAUACCCGGGUAGUCCCAGCUGUAAACGAUGCGAGCUAGGUGUUGGAAUGGCUACGGGCCAUUUCAGUGCCGCAGGGAAGCCAUUAAGCCCGCCGCCUGGGGAGUACGGCCGCAAGGCUGAAACUUAAAGGAAUUGGCGGGGGAGCACCACAAGGCGUGAAGCUUGCGGUUC